Molecule: ribosomal RNA, 1044 nt
Filed under: Brachyspira hampsonii bv. I
Lineage: Bacteria; Pseudomonadati; Spirochaetota; Spirochaetia; Brachyspirales; Brachyspiraceae
Description: bacterial SSU rRNA
Rfam family: Bacterial small subunit ribosomal RNA
Source: RNAcentral
AGUCGAGCGGGCUUAUUCGGGCAACUGGAUAAGUUAGCGGCGAACUGGUGAGUAACACGUAGGUAAUCUGCCGUAGAGUGGGGGAUAACCCAUGGAAACAUGGACUAAUACCGCAUAUACUCUUGCUACACAAGUAGAGUAGAGGAAAGGAGCAAUCCGCUUUACGAUGAGCCUGCGGCCUAUUAGCCUGUUGGUGGGGUAACGGCCUACCAAAGCUACGAUAGGUAGCCGACCUGAGAGGGUGACCGGCCACAUUGGGACUGAGAUACGGCCCAGACUCCUACGGGAGGCAGCAGCUGAGAAUCUUCCACAAUGGACGAAAGUCUGAUGGAGCGACAUCGCGUGAGGGAUGAAGGCCUUCGGGUUGUAAACCUCGGAAAUUAUCGAAGAAUGAGUGACAGUAGAUAAUGUAAGCCUCGGCUAACUACGUGCCAGCAGCCGCGGUAAUACGUAGGAGGCAAACGUUGCUCGGAUUUACUGGGCGUAAAGGGUGAGUAGGCGGACUUAUAAGUCUAAGGUGAAAGACCGAAGCUUAACUUCGGAAACGCCUCGGAUACUGUAAGUCUUGGAUAUUGUAGGGGAUGAUGGAAUUCUCGGUGUAGCGGUGGAAUGCGCAGAUAUCGAGAGGAACACCUAUAGCGAAGGCAGUCAUCUGGGCAUUUAUCGACGCUGAAUCACGAAAGCUAGGGGAGCAAACAGGCUUAGAUACCCUGGUAGUCCUAGCCGUAAACGUUGUACACUAGGUGCUUCUAUUUAAAUAGGAGUGCCGUAGCUAACGUCUUAAGUGUACCGCCUGAGGAGUAUGCCCGCAAGGGUGAAACUCAAAGAAAUUGACGGGUCCCCGCACAAGUGGUGGAGCAUGUGGUUUAAUUCGAUGAUACGCGAAAAACCUUACCUGGGUUUGAAUUGUAAGAUUAAUGAUUUAGAGAUAAGUCAGACCGCAAGGAGAUUUUGCAUAGGUGCUGCAUGGCUGUCGUCAGCUCGUGUCGUGAGAUGUUGGGUUAAGUCCCGCAACGAGCGCAACCCUCACCCUUUGUUGCUACC